This is a non-coding RNA of Paramisgurnus dabryanus, 752 nucleotides long. NCBI's taxonomy places the organism in Eukaryota, Metazoa, Chordata, Actinopteri, Cypriniformes, Cobitidae. The record is from RefSeq and is a predicted model, not a curated record.
UGCUAAUUGUAAAGAAGCUUGGAGUCAUAAUAUAUUUAAACGUUAUAUGUUUGCUGUUCUUCAUCUUUUUAAAUAUGAAGUCUAUACAUGUUUGUGUUUACAGAGGUCAUGUACACUGUGGUCAACUUUGUGGACGAUGAAGAGGUUUCUGGGUAAAGCUGAUAGAAAUAUAAUGAAGUAACAGUGAAAGCUAAAACAUCAGACUGAUCCAGACACUGAAGAAAUUGAUGUCACUGCAAUCUGGCCAAAAUGAUACAACUAUAUUGAAGUAACCUACUGUAAUGAAGCUGCAGAACAACACAGAGACUCUGAGGACAUCAACACAGAAAAUUAAGGCUCCAAAGAGAUGUCUGUCCAGAUGAGGGUGCAUCAACGUUACCUUUGCUGACAAGUAUAUGCUUUACAAUGUAAAACCUAACAGUUAACUUAACUCAAACCAUUUAAGGAAAUCGGUUGCCUUAACCCAUUAAGUUUAAAAAAAACAUACAUUUGAGUACUGUGAACUUAAGUCUUGUGCAAUAAUGCACUUAUAUUUAGUUAGUGUGAACUUAAAUAUAAGUGCAUAACUGCAUGUGACUCAAUUUGUUUAAGUUCACAGUACUCAAAUCUAUGUGUUUUAAAACUUAAAUGGUUUAAUGCAACCGGUUUUCUUAAAUGGUUUGAGUUUAGUUAACUUUUAGGUUUUACAGUGAGAAAUUCUUGAAUAAUUCCAAGACAGAGCUCUGCAAUUGAAUCAACACUGCAAAAAAUCA